ACCUGGCUGGCUCAGUUGGAGGAGCAUGCGACUCUUGAUCUCUGGGUUGUGAGUUCAAUCCCCAUGUUGGGUG
RNAcentral lists this transfer RNA (73 nucleotides) under Ursus americanus (American black bear). It matches the Rfam family "tRNA". From Rfam's summary of the family: Transfer RNA (tRNA) molecules are approximately 80 nucleotides in length. Lineage: Eukaryota; Metazoa; Chordata; Mammalia; Carnivora; Ursidae. The record is from Rfam by way of RNAcentral. RNAcentral also lists the same sequence under 1 other name.